GACGAACGCUGGCGGCGGGCUUAACACAUGCAAGUCGAACGGAAAGGCCCUGCGUUUGUGGGGUGCUCGAGUGGCGAACGGGUGAGGAACACGUGAGUAACCUGCCCUUGACUUUGGGAUAACUUCAGGAAACUGGGGCUAAUACCGGAUAGGAGCUCCUGCUGCAUGGUGGGGGGUGGAAAGUUUCGGCGGUUGGGGAUGGACUCGCGGCUUAUCAGCUUGUUGGUGGGGUAGUGGCUUACCAAGGCUUUGACGGGUAGCCGGCCUGAGAGGGUGACCGGCCACAUUGGGCCUGCGAUACGGCCCAGACUCCUACGGGAGGCAGCAGUGGGGAAUAUUGCACAAUGGGCGGAAGCCUGAUGCAGCAACGCCGCGUGCGGGAUGACGGCCUUCGGGUUGUAAACCGCUUUAGCCUGUGACGAAGCGUGAGUGACGGUAAUGGGUAAAGAAGCACCGGCUAACUACGUG
RNAcentral lists this ribosomal RNA (468 nucleotides) under uncultured bacterium. Its description in RNAcentral is "partial 16S ribosomal RNA". It matches the Rfam family "Bacterial small subunit ribosomal RNA", at positions 28 to 507 of the family's 1533-position model. The record is from RNAcentral.